AGUGAACGCUGGCGGUAGGCCUAACACAUGCAAGUCGAACGGCAGCACAGUAAGAGCUUGCUCUUACGGGUGGCGAGUGGCGGACGGGUGAGGAAUACAUCGGAAUCUACUUUUUCGUGGGGGAUAACGUAGGGAAACUUACGCUAAUGCCGCAUACGACCUACGGGUGAAAGCAGGGGAUCUUCGGACCUUGCGCGAUUGAAUGAGCCGAUGUCGGAUUAGCUAGUUGGCGGGGUAAAGGCCCACCAAGGCGACGAUCCGUAGCUGGUCUGAGAGGAUGAUCAGCCACACUGGAACUGAGACACGGUCCAGACUCCUACGGGAGGCAGCAGUGGGGAAUAUUGGACAAAGGGCGCAAGCCUGAUCCAGCCAUACCGCGUGGGUGAAGAAGGCCUUCGGGUUGUAAAGCCCUUUUGUUGGGAAAGAAAAGCAGCAGGUUAAUACCCCGCUGUUCUGACGGUACCAAAAGAAUAAGCACCGGCUAACUUCGUG
This 492-nucleotide ribosomal RNA is filed under the name uncultured bacterium. RNAcentral describes it as "partial 16S ribosomal RNA". It matches the Rfam family "Bacterial small subunit ribosomal RNA", at positions 29 to 507 of the family's 1533-position model. The record is from RNAcentral.